RNAcentral lists this ribosomal RNA (254 nucleotides) under uncultured bacterium. RNAcentral describes it as "partial 16S ribosomal RNA". It matches the Rfam family "Archaeal small subunit ribosomal RNA", at positions 474 to 727 of the family's 1478-position model. The record is from RNAcentral.
UACCAGCACCCCGAGUGGUCGGGACGUUUAUUGGGCCUAAAGCAUCCGUAGCCGGUUCUACAAGUCUUCCGUUAAAUCCAACUGCUUAACAGGUGGGCUGCGGAAGAUACUAUAGAGCUAGGAGGCGGGAGAGGCAAGCGGUACUCGAUGGGGUAGGGGUAAAAUCCGUUGAUCCAUUGAAGACCACCAGUGGCGAAGGCGGCUUGCCAGAACGCGCUCGACGGUGAGGGAUGAAAGCUGGGGGAGCAAACCGG